UUCAAACAGAAGGGGUGAGAUAUCAUAAUUAUAUAAAGGAAAUCAUGAUAAUAAGUAAGCAUCAGAUUAUCACAUGUACAACACCCAUUCCACAACACAAUUCCAUAUAAUCCGCAGGACAACUAUCCAUACAUAAUAGCAACAUCACAACUAUCUGACAUAAUAACAACAUAAUCAACCAUCCAACAUAAUAACAAAUGCAACCAAUGUACAAUGCAAUCAGACUCACCAACUUGACUCAAUGCACGUGGUACCAAUACGUGAACACUCAGGUUCACCACUCUGAUCCUUACCUCAUAGGAUCAAAGUCACUAAUUUGUUACCAUCACCUCCGAUGACAUCUCACUAAUUCCGUCACCUCCAAAAUCAGUUACCGACUCAAUCCACACAAUGUGAUUUGAUGCUCACCAACAACUGACCAUUUGUCUAACGACAUGAAUGCAUGCAACAUACAAUACUUGCAACAACAACAUCAUGCAUAAUGACUCACCUCUGUAGUCAAUGUACACCACCAAUAUUGGUCAUCAUGCAUCAAACACAUGUUAUACAGCUCAACAACAUCAAUAUACAACAUAAUAAGCAACAACAAUGCAUUUAAGGUUAUGUCACACCAUCACAUAAACAUUUCAAUGUAUGUCAACACCAUCGCACCAAAAAAUAUUCAUUUUCAUGUACUCAAAUCAAUUUUA
RNAcentral lists this long non-coding RNA (689 nucleotides) under Lathyrus oleraceus (garden pea). RNAcentral's name for it is "Pisum sativum (pea) long non-coding RNA (PSAT_LNC016763)". Lineage: Eukaryota; Viridiplantae; Streptophyta; Magnoliopsida; Fabales; Fabaceae. The record is from RNAcentral.